CCCUUAGAUGUUCUGGGCCGCACGCGCGCUACACUGACCAGUGCAACAAGCAUCCGUCCUUGGCCGACAGGCUCGGGCAAUCUUUGAACGCUGGUCGUGAUGGGGAUAGACUUUUGCAAUUUUUGGUCUUCAACGAGGAAUUCCUAGUAAACGCAAGUCAUCAACUUGCAUUGAUUACGUCCCUGCCCUUUGUACACACCGCCCGUCGCACCUACCGAUUGAAUGGUCCGGUGAAGCCUCCGGAUUGGCGCGCACCUCGGUGCCGCCGAGAAGUUGGCUAAACCUUACCAUUUAGAGGAAGGUGAANUCGUANCA
This 315-nucleotide ribosomal RNA is filed under the name uncultured eukaryote. RNAcentral describes it as "partial 18S ribosomal RNA". It matches the Rfam family "Eukaryotic small subunit ribosomal RNA", at positions 1470 to 1796 of the family's 1831-position model. The record is from RNAcentral.